This 30-nucleotide non-coding RNA is filed under the name Callithrix jacchus (white-tufted-ear marmoset). RNAcentral also lists the same sequence under 1 other name. Lineage: Eukaryota; Metazoa; Chordata; Mammalia; Primates; Cebidae. The record is from RNAcentral.
AAGACCUGGGAUCAAUGGAAAGGAAUGUUC